RNAcentral lists this ribosomal RNA (820 nucleotides) under uncultured eukaryote. Its description in RNAcentral is "SSU rRNA". It matches the Rfam family "Eukaryotic small subunit ribosomal RNA", at positions 574 to 1425 of the family's 1831-position model. The record is from RNAcentral.
CCGCGGUAUUCCAGCUCCAAUAGCGUAUAUUAAAGUUGUUGCGGUUAAAAAGCUCGUAGUUGGAUCUAGGAUUAGGGCCACGGUCGUUCAGCUUGGACGUACUGUGCGCCCGACUCCUUUUCUCUAGUAUUCGAUUGUUGCUCUUCACUGAGUGACUUUAGUUGCUGGAACUUUUACCUUGAAAAAAUUGAAGUGCUCAAAGCAGGUUUUGCCUGAACAUUGCUGCAUGGGAUAAUUGAAUAGGAUUUUGGUCCUAUUUUGUUGGUUUCGGGACUCGAAAUAAUGAUUAAUAGGGACAGACGGGGGCAUUCGUAUUGCUGCGUUAGAGGUGAAAUUCUUGGAUCGCAGCAAGACGAACUACUGCGAAAGCAUUUGCCAAGAAUGUUUUCAUUAAUCAAGAACGAAAGUUAGAGGUUCGAAGGCGAUCAGAUACCGCCCUAGUUCUAACCGUAAACGAUGCUAACUAGCGAUCCGCAGGAGUUACUUCAACGGCUCUGCGGGAAGCUCCCGGGAAACCUAAGUGUUCGAGUUCCGGGGGAAGUAUGGUUGCAAAGCUGAAACUUAAAGGAAUUGACGGAAGGGCACCACCAGGAGUGGAGCUUGCGGCUUAAUUUGACUCAACGCGGGGAAACUCACUUGGUCAGGACACUGUUAGGAUGGACAGAUUGACAGCUCUUUCUAGAUUCGGUGGUUGGUGGUGCAUGGCCGUUCUUAGUUGGUGGAGUGAUUUGUCUGGUUAAUUCCGAUAACGAACGAGACUCUAUCUUACUAAAUAGUCGCAGUUUUAUUCUGACUGCUGAGCUUCUUAGAAGGACAGGGG